RNAcentral lists this ribosomal RNA (600 nucleotides) under Klebsiella variicola. Its description in RNAcentral is "bacterial SSU rRNA". It matches the Rfam family "Bacterial small subunit ribosomal RNA", at positions 1 to 592 of the family's 1533-position model. The record is from RNAcentral. Lineage: Bacteria; Pseudomonadati; Pseudomonadota; Gammaproteobacteria; Enterobacterales; Enterobacteriaceae.
AAAUUGAAGAGUUUGAUCAUGGCUCAGAUUGAACGCUGGCGGCAGGCCUAACACAUGCAAGUCGAGCGGUAGCACAGAGAGCUUGCUCUCGGGUGACGAGCGGCGGACGGGUGAGUAAUGUCUGGGAAACUGCCUGAUGGAGGGGGAUAACUACUGGAAACGGUAGCUAAUACCGCAUAACGUCGCAAGACCAAAGUGGGGGACCUUCGGGCCUCAUGCCAUCAGAUGUGCCCAGAUGGGAUUAGCUGGUAGGUGGGGUAACGGCUCACCUAGGCGACGAUCCCUAGCUGGUCUGAGAGGAUGACCAGCCACACUGGAACUGAGACACGGUCCAGACUCCUACGGGAGGCAGCAGUGGGGAAUAUUGCACAAUGGGCGCAAGCCUGAUGCAGCCAUGCCGCGUGUGUGAAGAAGGCCUUCGGGUUGUAAAGCACUUUCAGCGGGGAGGAAGGCGGUGAGGUUAAUAACCUUGUCGAUUGACGUUACCCGCAGAAGAAGCACCGGCUAACUCCGUGCCAGCAGCCGCGGUAAUACGGAGGGUGCAAGCGUUAAUCGGAAUUACUGGGCGUAAAGCGCACGCAGGCGGUCUGUCAAGUCGGA